UUUAUUGUCUUGGGCAACACAGCAUUCAUCCUUCCCAUGGCUUACCUCUACAUUGUGUUUAUUCUCUAUUUGCUCCCCCUGGAAUAUAAACUCUAUGAAAGCAGGGUCGGGGUCAGUCUCAUUCUGUAAUCUUUACCUAUAAAAUGUCCGGCAAGCAGUAGGCCUUCACUCAAGGUUUUUUGCAGAAGUAAACGAAGCCCAAAUCCCCAAGCCUGUAGUCUCAUCACUGGCAGAGGACACGUUGGCUGAAACCGGGCAGGACAGCAGAGCAAUGCAUUCCUGCGGUUUCUCCCCCUCCCACUGUUCCAGCUCUGAGAUAACUGAUCAUUUACAAGAGGGGGAACAGAAAACCUUAGAAAGGAGAUGUGUGUGCCAAACGCUAAACUCAGGAGAACGCUGGCCAGUUGUUUAACAGUUUCAGACUCAUCAAGGAGCAGAAUGGGAGAAAUACUUUAAAAGCUGGAAAAUGACGUGAUGGCAGGGCUAUAACAGCCUGCUUUGUCCUUGAGGUAGCCUUGUGAAUGAAAGCUACGUAUGCCAGAAGUAUAAAACAAAGAUUGAAUCCCUGCCACUACGUCAUAUCAUCCCUGGACUGUUUCUGGAAUACUGGAACAGGAAAGAGAAAUAAACCAUCUACUUAAGCCAU
Acinonyx jubatus (cheetah) is the source of this 646-nucleotide long non-coding RNA. RefSeq lists it as uncharacterized. NCBI's taxonomy places the organism in Eukaryota, Metazoa, Chordata, Mammalia, Carnivora, Felidae. The record is from RefSeq and is a predicted model, not a curated record. The transcript has 3 exons.